Molecule: transfer RNA, 71 nt
Filed under: Candidatus Woesebacteria bacterium
Lineage: Bacteria; Candidatus Woeseibacteriota
Description: tRNA-Asp
Rfam family: tRNA
About the family: Transfer RNA (tRNA) molecules are approximately 80 nucleotides in length.
Source: RNAcentral
GCGCCUGAAGCUCAAGGUUGAGCGCUUAUUUGUCCACGUAAGAGGUAGAGGUUCGAUUCCUCUCAGGUGCU